RNAcentral lists this ribosomal RNA (734 nucleotides) under uncultured eukaryote. Its description in RNAcentral is "partial 18S ribosomal RNA". It matches the Rfam family "Eukaryotic small subunit ribosomal RNA", at positions 670 to 1430 of the family's 1831-position model. The record is from RNAcentral.
GGUGUGCAAUUGUUGGCUCCUCCCUACUGCCGAUAAUGCGCUCCUGGCCUUAAUUGGCCGGGUCGUGCCUCCCGCGCUGUUACUUUAAAAAAAUUAGAGUGCUCAAAGCACCCACACUCUCUAUACACUUUAGCGGGAGAAAACAUCAUAAGAUUCAUAUCCUAUUGUGUUGCCCUUCGGGAUCAGAAUAAUGAUAAACGGGCACUGUCGGGGGUAUUCAUAUUUCAUACACAGAGGAAAAAUUCUUGUAUUUAAGAAAGAAAAACAACUGAAAACGCAUUUGCCGGGGAUGUUUUCAUUAAUCAAGAAAGAAUUUUGGGGGCUCAAACACGAUCAUAUACCGUCCUACUCUCAAACAUAAACUAUGGACACCAGGGAUCAGCGGAUGUUGCUUUUAAGACUCCUCUGGCACCUUAAGAGAAAUCAAAGUUUUUGUGUUCCGGGGAGAGUAUAGUGUCAAGGGGGAAAAAUAAAGGAAAAGAGGGAAGGGCACCCCCCGGAGAGGAGCCCGCGGGUUAAUUUUUGUCUACACGGGGGGAAAUUCCCCAUCCCCAGAUAGUAAGAAGAUUGACAGAGAGAGAUCUUUUUUGAGAUUAUGGGUGUGGUGGUGCAUGGCCGUUUAUUAGUUGGAGGAAUUAUUUGGGUUAAUUAUUCUAUUAAAGAAGACGACCUCAGCCUGCUAACUAAUUAUAGGAGGUACACCUCCACGGCUUGUUUGAGGGAGGAAGUACGGC